GAUGAACGCUAGCGGCAGGCUUAACACAUGCAAGUCGAGGGGUAUUGGUUUUCGGACCAAGAGACCGGCGCACGGGUGCGUAACGCGUAUGCAAUCUACCUUUUGCAGAGGGAUAGCCCAGAGAAAUUUGGAUUAAUACCUCAUAGUAUAGUACUUUGGCAUCAAGGAACUAUUAAAGUCACAACGGCAAAGAUGAGCAUGCGUCCCAUUAGCUAGUUGGUAAGGUAACGGCUUACCAAGGCUACGAUGGGUAGGGGUUCCGAGAGGGAGAUCCCCCCACACUGGUACUGAGACACGGACCAGACUCCUACGGGAGGCAACAGUGAGGAAUAUUGGACAAUGGGCGCAAGCCUGAUCCAGCCAUGCCGCGUGCAGGAUGACGUCCUAUGGAUUGUAAACUGCUUUUGACAGGAGAAACCCUUUNACGUGUGGAAGAUUGACGGUACUGUAAGAAUAAGGAUCGGCUAACUCCGUGCCAGCAGCCGCGGUAAUGU
Molecule: ribosomal RNA, 494 nt
Filed under: uncultured bacterium
Lineage: Bacteria
Description: bacterial SSU rRNA
Rfam family: Bacterial small subunit ribosomal RNA
Source: RNAcentral